UGGGCGCGGAGGGGAGGG
RNAcentral lists this unclassified non-coding RNA (18 nucleotides) under Chlamydomonas reinhardtii. Its description in RNAcentral is "small RNA Cre_3376". Lineage: Eukaryota; Viridiplantae; Chlorophyta; Chlorophyceae; Chlamydomonadales; Chlamydomonadaceae. The record is from RNAcentral.